UACAGAGGGUGCAAGCGUUGUUCGGAAUUAUUGGGCGUAAAGGGCGCGUAGGCGGUGCUGUAAGUCUGUAGUGAAAUCUCUGGGCUCAACUCAGAGUCUGCUAUAGAAACUGCAGUGCUGGAGUGUGGGAGAGGUGAGUGGAAUUCCUGGUGUAGCGGUGAAAUGCGUAGAUAUCUGGAGGAAUACCGGUGGCGAAGGCGGCAUCCUGGACCGACAUUGACGCUGAGGAGCGAAAGCUAGGGGAGCAAACGGG
Molecule: ribosomal RNA, 253 nt
Filed under: uncultured bacterium
Lineage: Bacteria
Description: partial 16S ribosomal RNA
Rfam family: Bacterial small subunit ribosomal RNA
Source: RNAcentral